Molecule: long non-coding RNA, 1526 nt
Filed under: Heterocephalus glaber (naked mole-rat)
Lineage: Eukaryota; Metazoa; Chordata; Mammalia; Rodentia; Bathyergidae
Description: lncRNA (ENSHGLG00000034011.1)
Source: RNAcentral
GUUUGGAUCUUGAAUGUUCCUCAGAAGCCCAUGUAUUAGAGGCUUUGUUACUGGGAUGGAACUACUCGGAGAUGCUGGAAUCUUUGAGAGAUGAAGCCUCAUAGCAGCACCAUAGGUGGUGUUACCCUUAUAUGGAGACCCUAGAGGAUGUUGUAUAUUGGAGAAGACCCACUACACUGCUGGCCCUUAGUGAAGAAGUUGAAAAUGCCUGUGCAGCAGUCUCAGUGACCAAGGUUACCCGAGCAGCAGUUCGCUGAACUAAUAAACACCUGGAAGCUCACGGCCACCACUCGGAGCACCUCUUCUAAUUGUAGAGGCCAAAGGGUGGGGAAAGAUGGAGAGAAGGAAACCAUUGGGAAAAGAGAACACAGGUGCAGACUGUAGCUCUGCAUCUUCCAGGAGGACUUUAGAGAUGCUUGUUGGAGGGCAGAGAAAUGCAAAGCAGCACUGCUAGGACAUGAAAGAGGAGGGUGUGGAGGAGAGGAGAGUGCCUGUAAAGUAAAGGUGAUUAUGACCUAGUCUCUCUCAUCACUGAGACUUGGAACUCACGGAAUAAUGUACUGGGGAAUUUCUUAAUGACAUUCUGGCUUCUACAGAGGGAUGAAGUGACACAGCUCUUCAUAUUGAUGAAAGAAAAAUACAGAGGAACCCAGCUCCUGACCAGGGCCCCCCAGCUGAGAAAACUAGGUGGAGCCACAGUUCGGAGGAGCCGAGGGGAAGGGCAAUGACCGCCAGGACUUUGGGAGAAGGGAUGAUGCUGAUAGCAAAGCCUUUCUUUCUUAUGGGGCUGAAGUGAAGUCAGAUGUGGAGUUGUGGGCACUGGAAAUCUAAGGAGAGGUUCCUAGAUUCUCACCUCCACAAACCAGUGCCUAUAGGGAGCAGAGAAAAGAAGUGGAGAAUGAAGGCUGAAGACAGAGGAAAAGGAAGAAAAAUAUUCUAGUGUGAAAUUCUGGAGCAAGAGGGCCUGUGAUAAGGUUUGCUUAGACCGGGAUGAGGUACAUUCCCUCAAGGCCAACUGUGCAUGUGGACAACAGAAAGGGGAAAAAAUACAACCAAGCUGCGAAUGGUGCCAUGUGUCUGUAAUCCCAGCACUCAGGAGGCUGAGGCAGGACAAUCACUAUCUGAUGGUGGAAUUGGAAUGGAGUGGCUGCAAACUGACCUCCUGUUUGGGAAACCAUUGACUUGUUUCCAGGCAUGGACUGAAUGGAACCUAUGGACUACGUGGCCCAAGAAGCAUCUGUGUAUAAAGUCAAGCUCGAGACAGAAGUGAUUUUCUUCUUCACAUUGACCAGGUUUCAGCAGGGCUCACCCAGUGUGGUGUCUACUCUUGCUUCUCUUGUUGUCUCUACGAGCGGUUUCACUGGUGCCAAGACAGUUUCCCGUCAGACCGCCAGUGUCUUCUUAUUGGACCAGAAAGCCUCCUCUCACCAGAGUCCAAAUUCAUGUGCCUACAUAUGACCAGGUACAGUUGCAGACAAACAACCACAAUCGCCUAUAAAUGGCCUCAGCCGGAUCUUUCCCCUCAG